Long non-coding RNA from Papaver somniferum (opium poppy), 2107 nucleotides. RefSeq lists it as uncharacterized. The transcript is spliced from 2 exons. Lineage: Eukaryota; Viridiplantae; Streptophyta; Magnoliopsida; Ranunculales; Papaveraceae. The record is from RefSeq and is a predicted model, not a curated record.
GCCAAACCCUUUAGUUUUCGCGUAGCUUCUCUCAUGCGUAUUGAUUUUAUUGGUCUUUUAUUUUCUUUUCUUGCGAUUUGGGGUUUUGUUGUCUAAUCUCUAUCCAUUGUUUUUACAAGUAUCCUCAAAAGUGUAGUUGAUUGACACAACAUCUUUUAUUGGUGUCGCUUCUUUUGCUCCGGGUGGUAUUUGAGAAAUUUAUUAUUGGAUGUUUUUUCUCCAAAUAUUGGUCUUCUUCUUCUUCUCUUUUGAGUUUUCAUCCCUUCUUCUUUUUGUUGUAAUGUUUUGAAUUGACUUGGUUGACUGUAGGCGCCGAAGUGUUCUUUUUGUUGAUGUCGUUUUGGUUUUUUCAAUUGUUUCACUAAUGGUUAGGUUUUCUGUUUGCAGAAUGUUUACACCGGCGAUAGAGGUAAUCAUCUAAUGGAGGUCGCUCAGAUUUUGUUUUUGUUACUUAAAUCAAUACUAAUUCAUGUCUUCUGAUUUGAGGGAGGAAUCGGUUAUAGUAGUAAGGAGAUGUUUGAUGGAGUUGGUGUUCCUUUUUCUUCCUAUUUUCUUUUUCUGAGUUUCACUCCCUAAUUAAUCCCAUUUUUAUCAGUUUGAUUUUAAUUUUGUUUUUUUGAUCGAAAUUUAAUUGUGUUUGAUGAUUAUUUACUUUAGUUUAGAGAAUGCGUUAAUUUUAAUUUAUAGGUUAAACUUCAACCAUCAAGUCAGUGGCUUACAGUUUAAAUACUAAAGUAAACAUUAUUCUCCUUUGCCGAGUAAUGUAGAAUUGAUUUGGGUGAUAAUACAUAAGCGAUGGGAGUCCUAAUGCUUCAAGUUAUUGCCACCCGAACUCCGUAACUUUCUUAAUUUUUCAAGGCCAUAUCAGAACAGAGAUAGUAUAGCUAAACUUUUUAUGAUUUUGGGUGAUAAGUUUGGUUUUGUUGGUCUAUUAAUAUCUAGGAAUUGACUAUCUUUUCUUGCACCUGCCCUCUUUUCCUCUUCUUAUUCUCCUUCUCUCUUCUCAAACCCUAAUCAUCUUCUUUUCAUUACAUGACCAUAUAAUUGACAAAGUCUACUUAUGUUGCAGAGAUUAAUGUUGUUUGUAACCAAUCUUUGUGCAUCAAGUCAAUUUUAUGAAGUACUGUUCUUUUAACUGUUUUAUAGAAUUGAGUUUACAACAAGAUGAAAAUUAUUUCCAUGUUUUAUUUGUCACUCAAUCCGUUAUAUGUCACCAUAAUCUCUACACUUUAUAUUAGGUUGUUCGGUAAUGUCAGUGCAUUGGUUUUUAGGUUCAAAUUUUGUCACGAUCUGGAAUGCAUGAGAAUCCAUUUCAACUUAGCGCUUUGUUAUCACUAUUUGGUUUUGAGGAUGCUGCUAUGACUUAAAAUAAAGCUCUAACGAGUUCUACCAGAAUCUGCAUAAUUAAUUAUGCAUAUUUAGUGACCUUUCAUUAGUCUUUUUCGUAUAAUGAGAUGGGUGACCUGGUACUUGAAAUUGGAGGUUGAAUUGGAGUAGAGAUUGUCAGAUCCAGAAGAAGGUAUUUUGCUCAAAUUACAAGGAAUAUUCCCCAUGCUAUGCAAAGGGUAAUGGCUUAGAAGACGGGGUUGAUGCUAUGUAAAUGAGUAUAUGUCUGUGGCUUCGCAAUGGGAUCAGGAGGCACAAGCGUAUGCGAUGGUGGCUUAUAAUAUUGGGAGUUGGAGGUAUACAUGAGUAUAUGAUUGUGCAGGCUUAACGAAGGUAGUGGGAUUUACAACAGUGUGUGAUGGUGGCUUGGCUACGGCAUGGGAUAUCCAAGAGUGUAUGUGUAUGGUGCUUAACCUGAGUUUGAUCUACAGGAAUAUGAUAGUGGCUACAGUAGCUAAAGUGGGAGUUACAUGAGUAUAUGAAGGUGACUUAGCAAUGGUAGUGGCUUGGCUACAGUAUGGAAGAUAUAAAAGUUAUAUUUCUUGCAUAGUUUUCAUUUCCCCGGAUGGAUGGGCACCUUAAUGUGUUAUCUGCUGCCAUCUGAGACAGUUCAGGUUUGUUGUAUCUGACCAUAAAAAUAUUGUUAGAUUCAUUAUAUUUGUGUAGUUGUAGCUGUCGAACUUCCGGACUUACGGUACUAUACUUGAGUUUCCACUUUCAA